GGGCCCGUAGCUCAAUUGGUAGAGCGUCUCCAUGGCAUGGAGGAGGUCGAGGGUUCAAUUCCCUUCGGGUCCA
Molecule: transfer RNA, 73 nt
Filed under: Actinomycetota bacterium
Lineage: Bacteria; Bacillati; Actinomycetota
Description: Actinobacteria bacterium (freshwater metagenome) tRNA-Ala
Rfam family: tRNA
About the family: Transfer RNA (tRNA) molecules are approximately 80 nucleotides in length.
Source: RNAcentral